GGAUGUGAGGGCAAUCUGGCUGUGACAUCUGUCACCCCAUUGAUAGGCAGGGUUGAUUAGGCAGAUCUGGCUGGCUAGCUGGGUGCCCUCUUCCUCCCUCAACGCUCCAUGUGCAUCCGUCCCGAACAGCCACCACGGGGAACCGGGAUUCCCACGGAGCUGGAGCGCACUAAUGUUCAGAGGGACAGAGAGGCCUCCUACCCCAGGGAAGCCCUCCCGU
This 220-nucleotide small RNA is filed under the name Nannospalax galili (Upper Galilee mountains blind mole rat). RNAcentral's name for it is "7SK RNA (ENSNGAG00000007099.1)". It matches the Rfam family "7SK RNA", at positions 1 to 228 of the family's 331-position model. Rfam says of the family: 7SK was discovered as an abundant small nuclear RNA in the mid-70s but a possible function has only recently been suggested. The record is from RNAcentral. Lineage: Eukaryota; Metazoa; Chordata; Mammalia; Rodentia; Spalacidae.